This 30-nucleotide non-coding RNA is filed under the name Mus musculus (house mouse). The record is from RNAcentral. Lineage: Eukaryota; Metazoa; Chordata; Mammalia; Rodentia; Muridae.
UGACAAUACUUUACACAAUUUAUCCCUUGC